RNAcentral lists this ribosomal RNA (512 nucleotides) under uncultured bacterium. Its description in RNAcentral is "bacterial SSU rRNA". It matches the Rfam family "Bacterial small subunit ribosomal RNA", at positions 111 to 607 of the family's 1533-position model. The record is from RNAcentral.
UAACACGUGGGUAACCUGCCCAUAAGAGGGGGAUAACAUCCGGAAACGGGUGCUAAUACCGCAUAGUUUUCUUGGUCGCAUGAUUGAGAAAGGAAAGACGGCCUUUGUGCUGUCGCUUAUGGAUGGACCCGCGGCGUAUUAGUUAGUUGGUGAGGUAACGGCUCACCAAGACGAUGAUACGUAGCCGACCUGAGAGGGUGAUCGGCCACAUUGGGACUGAGACACGGCCCAAACUCCUACGGGAGGCAGCAGUAGGGAAUCUUCCGCAAUGGACGAAAGUCUGACGGAGCAACGCCGCGUGAGUGAAGAAGGUUUUCGGAUCGUAAAACUCUGUUGUCAGAGAAGAACAAGUCGGAGAGUAACUGCUCCGGCCUUGACGGUAUCUGACCAGAAAGCCACGGCUAACUACGUGCCAGCAGCCGCGGUAAUACGUAGGUGGCAAGCGUUGUCCGGAUUUAUUGGGCGUAAAGCGAGCGCAGGCGGUUCCUUAAGUCUGAUGUGAAAGCCCACGG